GCCCCGUUCGUCUAGCGGCCUAGGACGUCGCCCUCUCACGGCGGUAACACCGGUUCAAAUCCGGUACGGGGUACCA
Molecule: transfer RNA, 76 nt
Filed under: Arcanobacterium haemolyticum
Lineage: Bacteria; Bacillati; Actinomycetota; Actinomycetes; Actinomycetales; Actinomycetaceae
Also listed under: 9 other names
Description: tRNA-Glu
Rfam family: tRNA
About the family: Transfer RNA (tRNA) molecules are approximately 80 nucleotides in length. Their secondary structure includes four short double-helical elements and three loops (D, anti-codon, and T loops).
Source: RNAcentral